UAGAAAAAGGAAGCCUAAUUGGGACAACUUCCUAGAUCCUUGGAACAUUGUUAAGAAAAAAUUGGGAUAAGAGACUUAUAAACUCUAAAUGUGCAAAGACACUGAACUCCUAGAUAUUUGGAACAUUAAGCACCUUAAGAGAUAUUUUUAAUAGGAAGCAAAAAUCUAGAAUCAGUCAAAAAUUUAAAUUCUUAUCUGCUAUAGAAAAAAUGUAUAAUCCCAAAAUAACGAGUAAAAUCAUUAGUCAAGAACAAAGUGCAUAAUCAAUGAAAGAAUUACCCAUAAAUCUCCAUUUAACUUUGCACUACUCAUGCACACAAAACAUGAAAAUCUUCAAGUAUAUCUCAAUAUUAAUAAAUUCCCUUUAGCCAAGCUAGAGUACAUGUAUAAAAGAACAAAAAUAAAAAGUUCAUCUAGUCUAAUCCGAGAUAUACUAGAAUUCUAAAUUACCUUUUUGAGGAGAAUAAUUUUUAG
RNAcentral lists this long non-coding RNA (474 nucleotides) under Carica papaya (papaya). RNAcentral describes it as "long non-coding RNA (CPAP_LNC006761)". The record is from RNAcentral. Lineage: Eukaryota; Viridiplantae; Streptophyta; Magnoliopsida; Brassicales; Caricaceae.